RNAcentral lists this unclassified non-coding RNA (345 nucleotides) under soil metagenome. Its description in RNAcentral is "partial contains 5.8S ribosomal RNA, internal transcribed spacer 2, and large subunit ribosomal RNA". The stretch from base 1 to 120 matches the Rfam family "5.8S ribosomal RNA", at positions 35 to 154 of the family's 154-position model. The record is from RNAcentral.
GAUGAAGAACGUAGCGAAAUGCGAUACGUAAUGUGAAUUGCAGAAUUCAGUGAAUCAUCGAGUCUUUGAACGCACAUUGCGCCCCCUGGUAUUCCGGGGGGCAUGCCUGUCCGAGCGUCAUUGCUACCCUCAAGCACGGCUUGUGUGUUGGGCCUCCGUCCUCCUCCCGGGGGACGGGCCCGAAAGGCAGCGGCGGCACCGCGUCCGGUCAUCGAGCGUAUGGGGCUUCGUCACCCGCUCUUGUAGGCCCGGCCGGCGCUUGCCGACACAUCAAUCUUUUUUCCAGGUUGACCUCGGAUCAGGUAGGGAUACCCGCUGAACUUAAGCAUAUCAAUAAGCGGAGGA